CCUACGGGAGGCAGCAGUGAGGAAUAUUGGUCAAUGGACGAGAGUCUGAACCAGCCAAGUAGCGUGAAGGAUGACUGCCCUAUGGGUUGUAAACUUCUUUUAUAAAGGAAUAAAACGAGGCACGUGUGCCUUUUUGCAUGUACUUUAUGAAUAAGGAUCGGCUAACUCCGUGCCAGCAGCCGCGGUAAUACGGAGGAUGCGAGCGUUAUCCGGAUUUAUUGGGUUUAAAGGGAGCGUAGAUGGGUUGUUAAGUCAGUUGUGAAAGUUUGCGGCUCAACCGUAAAAUUGCAAUUGAUACUGGCAGUCUUGAGUACAGGUGAGGUAGGCGGAAUUCGUGGUGUAGCGGUGAAAUGCUUAGAUAUCACGAAGAACCCCGAUUGCGAAGGCAGCUUACUAAACUGUGACUGACAUUGAUGCUCGAAAGUGUGGGUAGCAAACAGGAUUAGAUACCCUAGUAGUC
Molecule: ribosomal RNA, 460 nt
Filed under: uncultured bacterium
Lineage: Bacteria
Description: partial 16S ribosomal RNA
Rfam family: Bacterial small subunit ribosomal RNA
Source: RNAcentral